RNAcentral lists this ribosomal RNA (433 nucleotides) under uncultured bacterium. RNAcentral describes it as "partial 16S ribosomal RNA". It matches the Rfam family "Bacterial small subunit ribosomal RNA", at positions 29 to 507 of the family's 1533-position model. The record is from RNAcentral.
AACGAACGCUGGCGGCAUGCCUAACACAUGCAAGUCGAACGAGACCUUCGGGUCUAGUGGCGCACGGGUGCGUAACGCGUGGGAACCUGCCCUUAGGUUCGGAAUAACUCCCCGAAAGGGGUGCUAAUACCGGAUAAUGUCUUCGGACCAAAGAUUUAUCGCCUUUGGAUGGGCCCGCGUUGGAUUAGCUAGUUGGUAGGGUAAAAGCCUACCAAGGCGACGAUCCAUAGCUGGUCUGAGAGGAUGAUCAGCCACACUGGGACUGAGACACGGCCCAGACUCCUACGGGAGGCAGCAGUGGGGAAUAUUGGACAACGGGCGAAAGCCUGAUCCAGCAAUGCCGCGUGAGUGAUGAAGGCCUUAGGGUUGUAAAGCUCUUUUACCUGGGAUGAUAAUGACAGUACCGGGAGAAUAAGCGCCGGCUAACUCCGUG